UUAGCUCCACUUCCCUCCAUGAUGAUGUUAACUCUCCAUGAUGAUGUUAACUCUCUCUGUUAGCUCCACUUCCCUUCAUGAUGAUGUUAACUCUCUCUGUUAGCUCCACUUCCCUCCAUGAUGAUAACUCUCUCUUAGUUCCACUAUGCACUUGCCUCUGCUAGUAACACACUGUGUUAACAUUAGCCUAGACUGAACCACAGAAAAUAACCGUUUUAAACAGUUGUAAAAACCAACUUCUUCCAGACAGAAUAGUUCCUGUAGAUUCAGACUCAUCACCAAUCUGUUGUUAUGUUUUGUGGGUUUCAUAACCAGGUCUGUAUAACAAUUCAAUAAUGAUGAGACGGGAGACAGGAAUCAGUUCAACCAUUUAUCUGGAACGUGAUCAUCUCAACACAUACAAACCCCCAUGAUGCUCUGCGGCACAACCCCAAUAUACAGCAAAUACAUCAAUAAAUAAGUAAGUGGACACAAAACAAAACUUAGAGGAUUUAAAUGUUCAGUUCUAGAAAGUAGGGCCAUGGGACAGGGUCAGAAAGGUCAUUAUAACACAGUGAAGUAGGGCCAUGGGACAGGGUCAGAAAGGUCAUUAUAACACAGUGAAGUAGGACCAUGGGACAGGGUCAGAAAGGUCAUUAUAACACAGUGAAGUAGGACCAUGGGACAGGGUCAGAAAGGUCAUUAUAACACAGUGAAGUAGGGCCAUGGGACAGGGUCAGAAAGGUCAGUUACAUCAGGUCCAUUAUAACACAGUGAAGUAGGGCCAUGGGACAGGGUCAGAAAGGUCAGUAUGUUUGAUACCUGGUUACAGAGGUGACAUAACAAGCAUAAGGUCCAUUAUAACACAGUGAAGUAGAGGUGGGAGCUAAAAGCAGACAUGGACAGUGAGACGGUGUGAGGAGGUCAGGGGUCAAACACUAGAUCAGGACAGGUAGAAAUGGCAGGGCUGGAAAUAGACAGAGACACAUUCUGAUCAUGGC
Long non-coding RNA from Oncorhynchus tshawytscha (Chinook salmon), 980 nucleotides. RefSeq lists it as uncharacterized. The transcript is spliced from 2 exons. The record is from RefSeq and is a predicted model, not a curated record. NCBI's taxonomy places the organism in Eukaryota, Metazoa, Chordata, Actinopteri, Salmoniformes, Salmonidae.